AUGAAGAAAGAAGAAGAAACCGAGGACGCCGGAGCACCAUCCUCUGCUUCAAACUCUGACCCUAGAACUUCUCUGUCAUGUGCUUCAGAAGCAGAUGGUAGCUCUCUGAAGAAACAAGACACCAAGGAUGCCGGAGCGUCCUCUGAAUCAAGCUCAACAGACCCUGCAACCUCUCCAUUGUUCGCUUCAGAAACAGAUAGCAGCUCGCCGGAGACAGAAGCGUUCGACGAUACCAGCGGAGCAUCCUCUGUAUCGAGCUCAGGCCCCCGCAGUACUACUCGAGUUUCUGCCUCAGAGGCACAUAGCCCGCUGAAGAGAGAAGCACCCAAGGAUAGUUUCCAGCAUUUGAAUGCCAAUGUGCAAUCUAACCCUGACAGUGAAGCUCCAACUCCUCAGGCAGCAUCAGCAGCAGCCUCGUCGUCGCUCCAGCCAUGGAUGGCCGACAUCCUGCAGCGACCCGGUGCAUCCCCCAGGCCAACACCAACCCGCCGAAGAACCCCGACAGCCGACGCGCUGCUGGAGAAGAUCGCCAAGCUGGACCUGCUGACAAAGAUCGGCACCGUCAGGAGCAGGUCCGGCCUGAACUUCAGAGGCAACGUGAGAGACGUCGUGUCCCUCUCCCGGACCCCUGCGCUGGGGCCGCUGCUGCUGUGCUCGGUGUGCCAGCACAAGACGCCGGUGUUCGGGAAGCCGCCGCGGUGGUUCAGCUACGCGGAGCUGGAGCACGCCACCGGCGGCUUCUCGAGAGCAAACUUCCUGGCCGAGGGUGGGUUCGGGUCUAUGCACCGAGGUGUGCUGCCUGACGGCCAGGCCAUGGCCCGCUGGCGUUGGGGUCUGUUGGUCAGCGGCAGGAGAGGCGACGAGCGGGGGUGGUGCGCUGGGGCCGAGGGGCCGACGGCGGGAUCCGCGCCGGAGUCAGGGGGCGGCGGCGGGAGGUGGUCGGGACAUCCAGGAAGAGGCGAUGCGGUGCGGGAGGAGGAGGUGGGGUGGGAAUGGGCCCGUCGGCUUAUUUUUCUCUCAUACACCAACCUUAAGGUCGACGGCAGGUUCCUGCGAUCUAGUAUAGCAUAA
RNAcentral lists this ribosomal RNA (1071 nucleotides) under Triticum aestivum (bread wheat). Its description in RNAcentral is "partial small subunit ribosomal RNA". Lineage: Eukaryota; Viridiplantae; Streptophyta; Magnoliopsida; Poales; Poaceae. The record is from RNAcentral.